RNAcentral lists this long non-coding RNA (2010 nucleotides) under Calidris pugnax (ruff). Its description in RNAcentral is "lncRNA (ENSCPUG00000006642.1)". Lineage: Eukaryota; Metazoa; Chordata; Aves; Charadriiformes; Scolopacidae. The record is from RNAcentral.
AUGUAUUUGUCUUACCUUUUUCCCCCCAGUAAAAGACACUGUAGCGUUUGCUGCCCAGUGACUUCAGUUGUUAAAGCCUGUGUGGUAACAAGCCUGAGCUUUCCAGCUGGAGUCCCCGUGUUGGUGUUGCUGGAGCUAGAGUGUGUCAAUAACAGCCGAAGCGCCCUUCCUGGGAGAUCUUACAGCCUGGUGGUUACGUUGUUCUGGGAGAUGGCAGAGGGUGGAUUCGUACGUCUUCAGGCAGAGGGAACUGGAUUGUGCUCUCCUACUUUCUGGGUGAGUAAACAAACUCUUAAGCUACUGCAAUAAAACACAUAGUGUCACCAGUUUGGUGACUCCAGUUCCCUGGUGUAUUUUUCCAACUGAGACAGGUGAAUUUGACCCCAAUUCAGCAUUUCUGGAAUGCCUAAAGUUUGGUAAUUUUGGCUGACUUACUACCAGAGAACCCCAAAGUUCCUGUUCCUUGCUACAGCCUUUCCAGAACAAGAAGGAUAUAUUUAUUUUCUGAAGAUUUCUGUAGGCAUUUAAAUAGAUCCAGCAAAGAAGAGAGAGGAAAAUCGGUUAUCCAGGCGAUCUGGGCUGGAAACAGGUGAUCUUUUCCUUUUGGUGGGUAACUGGAAACAUCCACUUAGUGCUGAAACUGCUAUAACCUGACGUAGGGACAUCCUUUGUGAUCCUGGCCGAGCUUGGUUCUCUGCCAUAACUUGUUUAUCAUCUUCCUCUAAACUCUUCCCAAGUCCAGACGCUGUUGUCUUCAUUGUGUACAUACAUCUUCCUCUAAACUCUUCCCAAGUCCAGAUGCUGUUGUCUUCAUUGUGUACAUAUCGUCAUUUAUAAAAAAAACCAACAAAAACAAAUACAAAACCAACCCAAACCCUACUUAGAGUCUUAUUUUCCUCAUUCCUGAAACCUCCCAACCCGGUUGACUUGUUGGAGUGCAUUUCAUGCAUUCUUAGCAGAUGGGCUGAAGGGAACGCCUAGUUCACCGGCAGCCAGAGGCUAGAAAGCAGGGAGGGAGUUCAUGAACGCUGCUUGUCCUCUCCUGCAGUCGCUGCAGAGCACACGGGGAGGAGGAGGAGGAGGGAAGGAUCCCGAGCUGCUGGACACAGCAUGACCACGGAGGAUCUCGCUGGCGUGACACCACUCGUGACAGUGAGUUAAGGUAGGGGAAUUCCGUGAUAAUUUCAACCUUUGCUAACUGCCUUGCUGAAACGUUCCCUGAUUUGAAAGAUACUUGUUGAAGGAGAACGCCUGCUUGUUAAGUCAUUGCCUAAUACCUGGGAAGUGGAAAAAUUUUAAUUUUUAUUUAUUUUUAUUUCCUUUCUUUGGGCUGCAUAAAAUAAGAGAACAGAGUUCCCUGCCUGAUGCUGCAGUGAUGGGAAAUUAAUACUACUAGCAAGGCUGGGGAAUGUGAAAAAUGUUGUAAAGUAUUGUCUCUUGUGGUGAGCCCUCACCAACCGUGUCUCCUACGCCUGCGUUGACCACUCAUCCGUCCUUGUCCACCUGAAGGACAAAUCACUUAGGCAAUUACUUGCAUUAUUUUGCCAUAAUUAACCCGUUGUGAGAGUAGCGUGAGGCGAGCUGAGUCCUUUUCAUCCCAAGCUCCACUUCUACUAUAUUUUGGCAAGAGCUUGUGGCAGACACAAAUUGGGAGGAUUUCUCCCUUUUUUUUUUUUUUUUUUUUUUUUUUGCAGACUUCCUGCUGGAAGAUGGAAGAGUGGGAAGUUCAGGUAAUGAAGACCACAGUCCUCCAAAAUUUAAGUCCUGACUCUUGGGACAUGAGGUUCCUCACGUGCAUAAGAUCACAGAGAGGACUGAGAUGUAACCUGGUUAUAUCCAACCUUCUUAUGGCCACUUGUUGGAAAGCACAAGAGAUUUUUUAAGGGAAAUGAGAAAAAAAGUAGAUAAAUGACUGUUCUUUGUUUAAAAUAACAUGGUAUUUUUCUAGCAUCUUAACUACUGUGGUCACAGUUCACACAAGACCAAUAAAGGGUGCUAAAGGAGCUUACA